Octopus bimaculoides (California two-spot octopus) is the source of this 73-nucleotide non-coding RNA. The record is from Rfam. NCBI's taxonomy places the organism in Eukaryota, Metazoa, Mollusca, Cephalopoda, Octopoda, Octopodidae.
GCCGAAAUAGCUCAGUUGGGAGAGCGUUAGACUGAAGAUCUAAAGGUCUCUGGUUCAAUCCCGGAUUUCGGCA